This 450-nucleotide ribosomal RNA is filed under the name uncultured bacterium. RNAcentral's name for it is "bacterial SSU rRNA". It matches the Rfam family "Bacterial small subunit ribosomal RNA", at positions 1077 to 1533 of the family's 1533-position model. The record is from RNAcentral.
GGGUUAAGUCCCGCAACGAGCGCAACCCUUGUCAUCAGUUGCUACGAAAGGGCACUCUGAUGAGACUGCCGGUGACAAACCGGAGGAAGGUGGGGAUGACGUCAGGUCCUCAUGGCCCUUAUGGGUAGGGCUACACACGUCAUACAAUGGCCGGUACAGAGGGCUGCCAACCCGCGAGGGGGAGCCAAUCCCAGAAAACCGGUCGUAGUCCGGAUCGCAGUCUGCAACUCGACUGCGUGAAGUCGGAAUCGCUAGUAAUCGCGGAUCAGCUUGCCGCGGUGAAUACGUUCCCGGGUCUUGUACACACCGCCCGUCACACCAUGGGAGCGGGUUCUGCCAGAAGUAGUUAGCCUAACCGCAAGGAGGGCGAUUACCACGGCAGGGUUCGUGACUGGGGUGAAGUCGUAACAAGGUAGCCGUAUCGGAAGGUGCGGCUGGAUCACCUCCUUU